This 300-nucleotide unclassified non-coding RNA is filed under the name Hevea brasiliensis (rubber tree). The record is from RNAcentral. Lineage: Eukaryota; Viridiplantae; Streptophyta; Magnoliopsida; Malpighiales; Euphorbiaceae.
UGCUUCCCUCAAAAACUGAUAAGAAUCUUAAGAAACAACCACAGCAAAAGAAUAUCAUGUCAACACAAUUCUAAGAGAAAUGAUAAGGAUGUUAAGAAAAGUAGAGAAAUUUGACUAACUGAACCAUCAGUUCUAACAAGUAACCUAGGAAAACAAAGACAGGGAAGUUGUAAUUUCUUCCACCAUUUUAUUUGCCUUUCCAAUAACUAUACCCAAAAAUCAGUAUGCGAUGUUGAGGUACUUCACAACUAAUGCAGCCUUUCAUAUAUUUCCUAUGACUUGGUUCACUACAUUUAGCGG